CGAGUUGGCCGGGCGACCGCGGAGCUCAGGUUUCCACCUGGGCGUCGAGGAAAGUCCGGACUUCACAGAGCAGGGUGAUUGUUAACGGCAAUCCGGGGAAACUCGCGGGAAAGUGCCACAGAAAGAAGACCGCCAGAAAUGGUAAGGGUGAAACGGUGCGGUAAGAGCGCACCAGCAUCCCGGGUGACCGGGAUGGCUAGGUAAACCCCACCCGAAGCAAGGCCAAGAAGGCCGCAACCUGGUUGUGGCUGCGCAAGCGUCCGAGGGCUGCUCGCCCGAGCUUGCGGGUAGGCCGCUUGAGGCACCCGGCAACGGUGUGUCCAGAUGGAUGGUCGCCGCCUCACCGGAAACUCCGGAGAGGAACAGAAUCCGGCUUACAGGCCAGCUCGUCCG
RNAcentral lists this RNase P RNA (393 nucleotides) under Mycobacterium sp. Root265. Its description in RNAcentral is "bacterial RNase P". It matches the Rfam family "Bacterial RNase P class A". Rfam says of the family: Ribonuclease P (RNase P) is a ubiquitous endoribonuclease, found in archaea, bacteria and eukarya as well as chloroplasts and mitochondria. Its best characterised activity is the generation of mature 5'-ends of tRNAs by cleaving the 5'-leader elements of precursor-tRNAs. Cellular RNase Ps are ribonucleoproteins. The record is from RNAcentral. Lineage: Bacteria; Bacillati; Actinomycetota; Actinomycetes; Mycobacteriales; Mycobacteriaceae.